This 1395-nucleotide unclassified non-coding RNA is filed under the name Hevea brasiliensis (rubber tree). The record is from RNAcentral. Lineage: Eukaryota; Viridiplantae; Streptophyta; Magnoliopsida; Malpighiales; Euphorbiaceae.
GGAGCACUUACUGUUAAGAAUAUAUAAUGUGGACUGAUACCUGUACAGAUUCAUUUAAGAAUUCAAUCAAUAAUAUUCUCUUUUUUCUCUAAAUCUCUAUUAUAUUCUCAUCUUACUCUUUUCUCCUGUCAUCUAGUCUCAUUCUUGUUUGUUCUAGCUAAUACUUUACAAAUUGGUAUCAAAGUUGAGUUACGCAUGGGAAUAGCUUCAAUUUUGGAUCUGUAGCAUUGAAAAUGAAGCUGUGGCAUUGAAAAUGACUAGAUCUAGGGUAAUUGCUCAAGAUUCUGGAUUCUCUGAAUUGGAAGAAGUAAUUAGGGCUGUACAGAAUGAGUUGAGGAAGGAUAAAGAGGAAUUGAGGGAGGAGAUGAAGCAGAAUGCUUUACAGCAAGCAAUUGAGACUUGCAAUAUGAUCAGGGAAGAAUUGCGAUCCAUUUUUGGUGAUUCCAUGCCUAAGGUCGGUCCAGGAAGGAAUGAUGAGUUUGAAACUUCUGCAGCAACUCUUUGGGGCAAAGGAAUUCUUCCUAAUCCAGGGGGAAGAGUCAAUCAACAGCAAGGAGGAGGUAGCAACAGUAAUGGAUCUGCAAUUAAUUUUGAAGGUAUGUCCCAAAUGUUGUCAAAAAUUGAAUUGAUUACUUUUGAAGGGAAAGAACCUAGGGUUUGGGUAAGGAAAUGUGUUAAGUACUUUGAGGUGUAUGGGGUUCCUAAAUAGCAAUGGGUUGGCAUUGCUAGUUUGUUUCUAAUGGAUAGGGCUGAUGCUUGUUAUCACAAUUGGAUAUUGGGGGAAGGUUCUCACUCUUGGAAGGAUUUUGAGAAAGAUCUUUGUAGGAGGUUUGGAGAGGAUGGGUUAGAAGAUGUAGUGGAAGAAAUCGUGAAGAUGAGGCAAGAAGGAACUGCGGAAGAGUAUCAAGAUAAAUUUGAGGAUCUAAGAAUUAGGUUAGAGAGGGUAAUGCCUAAUUUGGGGGAAGCUUAUUUUCUGUCAGCCUUUGUUGGUGGGUUAAGAGAUGAUAUAAGACCUAUGGUCAGGAUGAUGAAACCAACUACUCUUUUCCAUGCUUUUGAAAUUGCAAAAUACCAAGAACAACUCUUGAAUUGCAGCAAGAAAGUUAAUUCUGUUACAAGACCUCACCAGAAUAAUUUCAGACCUUCUUAUUCUUCUACUUUUGUCCCAAAAAACACUUCUUCUCAGUCACCUUAUUUCUUGGCCCCCAAAACCUCAAAUUGGGAGCAAUCUUCCAUUGCUAAACCAAUUAAUUCGGUUAAAAAACCUUCCAUUUCUAUGGGUCAGUCUUCUGUUAAUCAGCCCAUUAAUAAAGUCUCUUCCAAUAUGCUUGUUACCCACAAUACUAUUAGAUCACCCAGAUCCUGUUUCAGGUGUGGAGAGAAAUUCUUUCCUGG